RNAcentral lists this small RNA (74 nucleotides) under Escherichia coli. RNAcentral's name for it is "partial RtT sRNA". It matches the Rfam family "RtT RNA", at positions 58 to 130 of the family's 130-position model. From Rfam's summary of the family: This family represents a bacterial cis-regulatory element known as RtT RNA. The record is from RNAcentral. Lineage: Bacteria; Pseudomonadati; Pseudomonadota; Gammaproteobacteria; Enterobacterales; Enterobacteriaceae. RNAcentral also lists the same sequence under 5 other names.
CGAGAAAGCGUUGCCGCAGGCAACGACCCGAAGGGCGAAGCGCGCAGCGCUGAGUAAUCCUUCCCCCACCACCA